UUAGAUUUUAAUCCAACGGUUGGAAUUUUAAAUAUAAGUAGACUUUUUUUAAAUAAGUUGGGCUAAAAAUUUUAAAAAUAAUAAUCUGUAUUGUUUAUUUAGUGUAGAGUUACUAUGCUAUCGGAAGCAUCGAGAAUCUGAUACUUCCAACUUUUUGACCAUUGGAUAAAAAAUUUUACGGUUGAGAUAAUUGCGGUCCCCCAGGGUUGAGUAGUACUUCUAGAAUUGAGUGGUCCUCACAGGGUAAUAGUAUUAAUCCAAAGGUUAGAAAUAAUCAAAGGGAUUGAUCUAAGGGCCGAAACAUAGAAAGCCCCGGAUCCUCUAUGCUUCCAAUAGCAUAGUAGCUCUACUCAUUUAUUUAUAUAUAUAUAAAUUAUAUAUUUAUAUAUAUAUAUAUAAAUUAUAUUACUAUAAAAUAAAUGUAAUCGAGCUGUUAUCGAGCCGAACACGAGCGAGCUAAUCCUAGUUCGUGUUCGGCUCGUUUAUUAAACGAGCUGGAAAAUUCA
RNAcentral lists this long non-coding RNA (506 nucleotides) under Ananas comosus (pineapple). RNAcentral's name for it is "long non-coding RNA (ACOM_LNC032303)". The record is from RNAcentral. Lineage: Eukaryota; Viridiplantae; Streptophyta; Magnoliopsida; Poales; Bromeliaceae.